RNAcentral lists this unclassified non-coding RNA (238 nucleotides) under Hevea brasiliensis (rubber tree). The record is from RNAcentral. Lineage: Eukaryota; Viridiplantae; Streptophyta; Magnoliopsida; Malpighiales; Euphorbiaceae.
AUGGAUCUCCUUUGUGGAUCUUCUACAGUAGCGAAGCUGCCUAAACGAUUGGAAAUAUAGAGCGCCAUUUUGUUUGAUGAAUAGGUUCCCUUUACACUUGAGAUGAAAUGCUAACAACACAUUGUUAAAGUAGCAGUCGAAGUAUGAGCUUUUUGUUGUUCAUAAUAUAUGGUAAUGUUACCGCAAUGAUCUAGAAUGCUGUAGGGAUCCUUGUAUUGAUUGUUUAAUGCUGAUCUGG